CCAGACUCCUACGGGAGGCAGCAGUGGGGAAUAUUGGGCAAUGGGCGCAAGCCUGACCCAGCAACGCCGCGUGAAGGAAGAAGGCCCUCGGGUUGUAAACUUCUUUUAUUCGGGACGAAACAAAUGACGGUACCGAAUGAAUAAGCCACGGCUAACUACGUGCCAGCAGCCGCGGUAAUACGUAGGUGGCAAGCGUUAUCCGGAUUUACUGGGUGUAAAGGGCGUGUAGGCGGGAGAGCAAGUCAGACGUGAAAUUCCAGGGCUCAACCCUGGAACUGCGUUUGAAACUGUUCUUCUUGAGUGAUGGAGAGGCAGGCGGAAUUCCUAGUGUAGCGGUGAAAUGCGUAGAUAUCAGGAGGAACACCGGCGGCGAAGGCGGCCUGCUGGACCGCGACUGACGUUGAGGCUCGAAAGCGUGGGGAGCAAACAGGAUUAGAUACCCGUGUA
RNAcentral lists this ribosomal RNA (447 nucleotides) under uncultured bacterium. RNAcentral describes it as "bacterial SSU rRNA". It matches the Rfam family "Bacterial small subunit ribosomal RNA", at positions 331 to 792 of the family's 1533-position model. The record is from RNAcentral.